Molecule: ribosomal RNA, 253 nt
Filed under: uncultured bacterium
Lineage: Bacteria
Description: partial 16S ribosomal RNA
Rfam family: Bacterial small subunit ribosomal RNA
Source: RNAcentral
UGCGGAGGGUCCAAGCGUUGUCCGGAAUCACUGGGUGUAAAGGGUGCGCAGGCGGGCUUAUAAGUCAGGGGGGAAAGCCACCGGCUCAACCGGUGAAUUGCCCUUGAUACUGUAAGUCUUGAGUCCUGGAGGGGCUGUCGGAAUUCGUGGUGUAGCGGUGAAAUGCGUAGAUAUCAGGAGGAACACCGGUGGUGUAGACGGCUUACUGGACCGCAACUGACGCUGAGACACGAAAGCGUGGGUAGCAAACAGG